UGCGGGUUGGCUGGAGUUUUCGGACCUUGCCAAGGUUGGGGUCGAGGGUUCGAAUCCCUUCGCCCGCUCC
Molecule: transfer RNA, 70 nt
Filed under: Sphingobium jiangsuense
Lineage: Bacteria; Pseudomonadati; Pseudomonadota; Alphaproteobacteria; Sphingomonadales; Sphingobiaceae
Description: tRNA-Gly
Source: RNAcentral